GGCUGUAAAAUGGGGGUGAUGAGUCCUACCGAGAAAUAGUGAGCAACAAAGUGGCUUCUGCUAACACUUCUGGGACCUGAGAAACACUGCGGGAAUCCUGACAAGCUUAUACUAGUGGACAGACUCCAGGAACCAUCGAGGUCCUCAGCCGACACGAUUGGAUCUGAUGCUUGAAUUCACCCAUAGUUAGAUCCACCAGCCCAGCUGAGACCUGAGCAUCUGGUUUUUUGGGGUACACAGCAGAUGCCUUGGGACAGUCGUCUGUGAAGAGAGGGGGAUGGAACGAGGACGAGUGAGUGCAUCAGCGCGAAGAGGAGCCUGGCAGGGACCAGUGAGGGAUGUUGAAGACUAUGAGGGACUCAAGCCUCUGCACUGAGUUCCAGAGAAUCCCCACAGCAACCACCAUGGGUGAAAAAUCAUGAUGAGAGAGAUUUCACAGCCUGGUUGUAAUGACUUGAUCAUUACAAGUCAUUGGUCAACGCCUGUCUUCCCUUCCAGGCCAGAGGUUGGCAUACUACAGCCCAUGAGCCAAA
Canis lupus familiaris (dog) is the source of this 533-nucleotide long non-coding RNA. RefSeq lists it as uncharacterized. The transcript is spliced from 3 exons. The record is from RefSeq and is a predicted model, not a curated record. NCBI's taxonomy places the organism in Eukaryota, Metazoa, Chordata, Mammalia, Carnivora, Canidae.